This 239-nucleotide long non-coding RNA is filed under the name Ananas comosus (pineapple). RNAcentral describes it as "long non-coding RNA (ACOM_LNC027656)". The record is from RNAcentral. Lineage: Eukaryota; Viridiplantae; Streptophyta; Magnoliopsida; Poales; Bromeliaceae.
GUAAGAUGGGAGUUGGGCUGUCAACGAGCUAAACACGAAUGAACUGGGACCGACUCGUUUCGUUCGUUUAUUAAACGAGUUGAACACAAGCUGACUCGUUAAAAUAUCGAGCUGAAAAAUUUAGUUCGUGUUCAACUUAUUUAUUUGCAAGCUGAGCAGGUGUUGGCUCCCGAACAAUAAAUUAGAUUGUCAAUGUUGGUGUUGGGUGAAACCUUUAAAGAAAAUUAGAAAAAUUAGAA